Coregonus clupeaformis (lake whitefish) is the source of this 270-nucleotide long non-coding RNA. RefSeq lists it as uncharacterized. Lineage: Eukaryota; Metazoa; Chordata; Actinopteri; Salmoniformes; Salmonidae. The transcript has 3 exons. The record is from RefSeq and is a predicted model, not a curated record.
GGGAAAUCAUCAAAAACCACAGAGAUGCAGAUGUAGUGCCCUUUCUGGAAUUCCCAAAGUAUGCUCCCAAAAGAGGAGAGAGUGCACGCACGCUCCCUCUCCUCAUGGCUCACCCCCACCCCCUCCUGCGUGCUAACAGUGAUAACAGCAUGACCCUGCCUGAUACCAUGGCCCUGCCCAACAAGGCUGCUAGAUCCAAUCCCGUCCCUGGACAGGGUCGCAGGGCCUCUGUAGGUGUGAGGAGCUCCAGCAGUCCCAGGGCCCGUACCC